Molecule: non-coding RNA, 444 nt
Organism: Anas platyrhynchos (mallard)
Lineage: Eukaryota; Metazoa; Chordata; Aves; Anseriformes; Anatidae
Source: RefSeq, a predicted model, not a curated record
UCGUUGUCCCAACCCCCUUGGGAAACUUGGUAGACUGGUGUCAUUGUGGUGGUGGGCUUUGCCUUUGGGUUGUGGAACAGGUCUUGCAGAAGCAACAUGCUACAGUGCAGGGGAUGGGACUGGAAUAUGGGAGACUCCAUGUCUGCAAGGAAGAGGAAGAGAUCUAACAACGAUACCUUCAGAUCCACUCAUUUUACAAAGAAUAUGAAUGAGAACUGGAUGGAAAUCAAAGUGUUGUUUAUGGCUACAGGCAGAGGUGUCAACUUAUAUCUAGUAUCAUGAUUUUCUCCACCAUGGAAAGAGAAGCAAUAAGGCAACAAUCUGUGAAGAUUAAUUGUAACAGAAGAGGGAUUGACAAUGAUUUAAAUGGUUGUCAUCCAGAGUUAUGUUUAUAAAAGUUAGAUGUUUUGUAAAAUGAUGCAAUAAAUGAUGUGUUUAGGGUUU